GACGAACGCUGGCGGCGUGCUUAACACAUGCAAGUCGAACGGAAAGGCCCGCUUGCGGGUACUCGAGUGGCGAACGGGUGAGUAACACGUGGGCAACCUGCCCUCAGCUCUGGGAUAACUCCGGGAAACCGGUGCUAAUACUGGAUAUCAACUUCUGCUCGCAUGGGUGGUUGUUGAAAGUUUUUCGGCUGGGGAUGGGCCCGCGGCCUAUCAGCUUGUUGGUGGGGUAAUGGCCUACCAAGGCGACGACGGGUAGCCGGCCUGAGAGGGCGACCGGCCACACUGGGACUGAGACACGGCCCAGACUCCUACGGGAGGCAGCAGUGGGGAAUAUUGCGCAAUGGGCGGAAGCCUGACGCAGCGACGCCGCGUGAGGGAUGACGGCCUUCGGUUGUAAACCUCUUUCAGCUCUGCGAAGCGAGAGUGACGGUAGGAGCAGAAGAAGCACCGGCC
RNAcentral lists this ribosomal RNA (453 nucleotides) under uncultured bacterium. RNAcentral's name for it is "bacterial SSU rRNA". It matches the Rfam family "Bacterial small subunit ribosomal RNA", at positions 28 to 498 of the family's 1533-position model. The record is from RNAcentral.